RNAcentral lists this ribosomal RNA (253 nucleotides) under uncultured bacterium. Its description in RNAcentral is "partial 16S ribosomal RNA". It matches the Rfam family "Bacterial small subunit ribosomal RNA", at positions 524 to 776 of the family's 1533-position model. The record is from RNAcentral.
UACGGGGGGGGCAAGCGUUGUUCGGAAUUACUGGGCGUAAAGGGCUCGUAGGUGGCCAACUAAGUCAGACGUGAAAUCCCUCGGCUUAACCGGGGAACUGCGUCUGAUACUGGAUGGCUUGAGUUUGGGAGAGGGACGCGGAAUUCCAGGUGUAGCGGUGAAAUGCGUAGAUAUCUGGAGGAACACCAAUUGCGAAGGCAGCUCGCUGGGACGUUACUGACGCUGAGACGCGAAAGCGUGGGGAGCAAACAGG